Molecule: ribosomal RNA, 497 nt
Filed under: uncultured bacterium
Lineage: Bacteria
Description: partial 16S ribosomal RNA
Rfam family: Bacterial small subunit ribosomal RNA
Source: RNAcentral
GAUGAACGCUGGCGGCGUGCCUAAUACAUUCCAGUCGAGCGAACAGAUGAGGAGCUUGCUCCUCUGACGUUAGCGGCGGACGGGUGAGUAACACGUGGAUAACCUACCUAUAAGACUGGGAUAACUUCGGGAAACCGGAGCUAAUACCGGAUAAUAUAUUGAACCGCAUGGUUCAAUAGUGAAAGACGGUUUUGCUGUCACUUAUAGAUGGAUCCGCGCCGCAUUAGCUAGUUGGUAAGGUAACGGCUUACCAAGGCAACGAUGCGUAGCCGACCUGAGAGGGUGAUCGGCCACACUGGAACUGAGACACGGUCCAGACUCCUACGGGAGGCAGCAGUAGGGAAUCUUCCGCAAUGGGCGAAAGCUUGACGGAGCAACGCCGCGUGAGUGAUGAAGGUCUUCGGAUCGUAAAACUCUGUUAUUAGGGAAGAACAAAUGUGUAAGUAACUAUGCACGUCUUGACGGUACCUAAUCAGAAAGCCACGGCUAACUACGUG